UUCAUUUUUUUGGUAGUAUCAGCAUUAAGAAAUGGAGAAAAGUUUUAUUCAACUACCUAUACAAGAGCAAACAAAGGAAAUGUUUAAUAUUAUACCAUUAAACUUGUAUGGCUUGUCCCAGAAUGUGUUCUUAUUUUAUUCUUCAUUUGAAUCUGUGUUAUCUGUUCUUUCAUUUCUUCUGAAGACACUUAAACCAAUGUGAUUAUUUUAAUCAUGACUACAAACACAAUAAAAAACAAAUCCCAAUUCAUUUCAGAGUUAAUUAUCUACCCAAGAAAGUUAAGCUCUUCCUUAAACUGCAGUUGUCUGACAGAAAUACCUAGCCAUUGUCUCUGUUUCCAGCUCCUCUUGCAUUUAUGUAGGUACAAGAUACUGGGUCUCACCAAUAGCACAUCAAGAAGAAUAAUUCUGCAUUACCAUUUUGAUAGUUUGAAGCUAAUGAGCACAAGCAGGGGUUCUACCAUUUUGGAAGUCAGGUAUUGUGUGGCUGGACUAUGAGAUGAACCAAAAACUAGCAGAGAAAAAUUAAUCAGAAAUAUACAUCUUGGAUUUUACAUGAGGAAGUAGUAAACUUUUGUUGCGUUUGAAUAUUAUAAUUUUUAACAUAAUUGUUAUUGUUAGCUCAUAAAGUUGGAAUGUGCUUCAGCUGAAAUAUGGUUUUUAACAUUCUGUUGCUCAUUCAGUUGUCAAAUAUUUAUAGAGAAGGUACCCCACCCUCUUCACACACAUGUGUGAAUAUAUAAUAUUUACAGAAACUUACUAUGCCAGUCACUGAGGAUAUGAGGAAAAAGAAGGGUCUCAAUGACAGAGUACUGCCCCAUUUCCAAAAUUCCUCCUUAUGGUGAAUUUCUGUUUUUCUAGAUUUUCAUUAAAUUUUUAUCUAUCAAUGGAGAAUGUUUUUCAAGAUGUUGCUUUCUAAUUCUCUGUAAUCAAUGCUUUUGCUCAAUUAUCACUGCUAUGAAUGACUUCCAAGUCCAUUUCUCUGGUUGUGACCUUUUAACUAUGUUCUAAGUUUUUAUUUUAAUUAUUUACAGGACAUCUUCAGUCGACUGUCUGUCAUCAUCUCAAGUUCAACCUGGAGGAAAUAAAGAGUUAUGAGUAAUAGCAUAACAAACAGAAGUUUAAUUUGUGAUUAAAGCUAAAUUUUCCACGGCAAGACAACUAUUGAUGGAACAACCACAAAAAUGAUGCCAAGACUUUUCCUGAAAUUAGGGAUGACUUUUCUGCUGUUUCACUAGCACCUUUGAUGGAAUGGAAUCAGCUGUCUAUGGACUGAUAUCUCUGAAACUG
Non-coding RNA from Ictidomys tridecemlineatus (thirteen-lined ground squirrel), 1290 nucleotides. NCBI's taxonomy places the organism in Eukaryota, Metazoa, Chordata, Mammalia, Rodentia, Sciuridae. The record is from RefSeq and is a predicted model, not a curated record.